Molecule: ribosomal RNA, 327 nt
Filed under: Triticum aestivum (bread wheat)
Lineage: Eukaryota; Viridiplantae; Streptophyta; Magnoliopsida; Poales; Poaceae
Description: partial small subunit ribosomal RNA
Source: RNAcentral
AUGUGCUAUUUUACCUUGUCCAAAACUUGGAAAUAUGUGCUGUUUUACCUUGUCCAAAACUUGGAAAUAUGUGCUGUUUUACCUUGUCCAAAACAUGGCAUUGCUGAUAUUGGUACUGUUUUUCUCUUUUGCUUGUCUGCCAUGUUGGCCUUUUUAGUUAGAGGAACUCUUCUGUUCCUGGCCCAUUAUCCAAAUAUACAUAUGUUGUUGAUAAUAAUCUACCAUGAGCAAUGCAAACCAUUCAACAGUGUUUGUUUCCCACCGUUUGUCUUAUUCCUAUUUAAGCAUACAAAUCAUCAUGCAAGAUACGAGAAGUUUGUUCCGUAA